AUUAAAGCAUUGAAGGAAAGUAUUAGAGAACAUGCUGAUAUAGAGAGUUACUGGCUGGUGAAAAGUAAUGAAAGUGUGCACUUGAACUCGUUCUGGAGCUGUCAGAAUGAUUAGUAGUUCUGAUCGGUAGUUACCGUUACUGAUGCAUUUAAGUGGGAAAUUGUGUCUUAUACUGAUUCAUGAUUUUCAAUUAGAGUGGUACCGCGAGCCUUCGCCUCUAAA
This 222-nucleotide non-coding RNA is filed under the name Clostridium oryzae. RNAcentral's name for it is "T-box sequence". It matches the Rfam family "T-box leader". From Rfam's summary of the family: Uncharged tRNA acts as the effector for transcription antitermination of genes in the T-box leader family. The record is from RNAcentral. Lineage: Bacteria; Bacillati; Bacillota; Clostridia; Eubacteriales; Clostridiaceae.